RNAcentral lists this unclassified non-coding RNA (209 nucleotides) under Hevea brasiliensis (rubber tree). Lineage: Eukaryota; Viridiplantae; Streptophyta; Magnoliopsida; Malpighiales; Euphorbiaceae. The record is from RNAcentral.
AGUUAAUCUCAUCACGUCAUGGACACUUGGGGAAUAAUUAAAGAUGCGAGUUCAUCAACACAUGCUUGCAGUUUGAUUUUGUACACAAUGCCCUCGUGGGACCAACAAGCAUCCUUAGUUUUAAAUUCUUGAUAUUGUAAGGAUGAUUGAUUCAUAUUGUCUGGUCGGAACGGAGUCAUGAACAUUUAAUACUCUUUCCACACAUUUCA